Molecule: transfer RNA, 70 nt
Filed under: Puerulus angulatus
Lineage: Eukaryota; Metazoa; Arthropoda; Malacostraca; Decapoda; Palinuridae
Description: tRNA-Met
Source: RNAcentral
CAAAAGAUAAGCUAACUUUAAGCUAAUGGGUUCAUACCCCGUCUAUGUGACUUUAUACUCACUCUUUUUA